RNAcentral lists this ribosomal RNA (253 nucleotides) under uncultured bacterium. RNAcentral describes it as "partial 16S ribosomal RNA". It matches the Rfam family "Bacterial small subunit ribosomal RNA", at positions 524 to 776 of the family's 1533-position model. The record is from RNAcentral.
GACGAACCGUGCAACCGUUAUUCGGAAUCACUGGGCUUAAAGGGCGCGUAGGCGGGCUAUCAAGUCUGGGGUGAAAUCCCGCGGCUCAACCGUGGAACUGCCUUAGAUACUGACGGCUUUGAGGAAGGUAGGGGCAUGCGGAACUGUAGGUGGAGCGGUGAAAUGCGUUGAUAUCUACAGGAACGCCGGUGGCGAAAGCGGCGUGCUGGACCUUUUCUGACGCUGAGGCGCGAAAGCUAGGGGAGCAAACGGG